GGAAAUAGGCGUUAAGCCAAAACAUGUUAAUUUUUUGUAUAAUCUUGAAUUACCCCUAUUUAUAUCCCAAUCUUAUUUGCCAAUUGAGGCAGUUCUGUGUUUGUCAUAACACAACUUUUGGGGAAUAUAUUCUUCUAGAAGUACCAAAUCAUAUGUAAUUUGUAAAUCAAAGUUCUUAUUGCCUUAUCCAAUGCAUAGGCCUAUCUAACUAUAAGCUCACUCAUUUUGGUUUUAUAAGCCUCUCACCUACUAAUUUAAAUUUCAGAUUGCAUACUGUAACAUGUCCAAGGAAAAAUAAAGAUUGACAUUUGGGAAAUGGAUUCAAGCUUGAACACAAGUUUAUAGCAUUUAACUAAGCAAGAAAAUUCUCACCACUUACUUUGAUGGCUUUCAUAGACCCUCAAGAAUAUAAUUAGUUAUUAAAAAGUGGGGAAAAA
This 437-nucleotide unclassified non-coding RNA is filed under the name Hevea brasiliensis (rubber tree). Lineage: Eukaryota; Viridiplantae; Streptophyta; Magnoliopsida; Malpighiales; Euphorbiaceae. The record is from RNAcentral.